UCGCGCUCGUCCCCCGCACAGAAGGCAAAGCCGGCUUUCAAGCCCUCCCCGAGAAGCAAAAGGAGCAGUCUCAGUAGGUAUCAUGAUGCCAGGGCUGGAAAACACACGUUCUUGAAAAUGUCACAGAAGGCUCAAGGAUUUAUAACUUCAAAGGAUCAAUCCAAACAUCAAAAGACAAAAAGAAGCUGUAAACCACUGAUGAACUCCACUUUCAAGGUCCAUGAUCCACCAGCUUCUAAUUCGAGUGGGAGAAGAAAAGAAGGGAUAAGAGAUUUCAGAAUGUCUAAUGAAACAACAUCAAACAAUCCUGGGUUUUGUCUUUCUAUGUUGAAGACCAGAGGGACUGUGCAGCAAUACUACCCCACAGUUCUCUUGCUGUGUGCCUGCGAAGAUAUAUUGUCUAAAAAAGAAUGAGUUGGUACUCAGGAAGUGGUUAAGAGUGAGAGGAAAUGUUUCAUGUCAGAGGCAGAGGCUAUUUCCUCAGCACUGCCAACCUCCUCCUAUUUUACAUGAGAACAAAACAGUUCUGAUAAAUCAGGCCACCAGUCCCAAUAUUGGCUAACUACAUGCCCUUCAAAAGUUCACAAGAAUGAGAGUAAGACUGCAGCUUCUAUCCAUCAUCAUUCUUCAGCCAUUUGUAUGUAAUAUGUGCUGCUUAUGAUUUAAGAUGUAUUAUACACAUUCAUCAGAUCUAACAGCGAAUGCUCUUAGCA
RNAcentral lists this long non-coding RNA (713 nucleotides) under Laticauda laticaudata (blue-ringed sea krait). RNAcentral describes it as "lncRNA (ENSLLTG00000012844.1)". The record is from RNAcentral. Lineage: Eukaryota; Metazoa; Chordata; Lepidosauria; Squamata; Elapidae.